GAAAUGCGAUAAGUAGUGUGAAUUGCAGAAUUCAGUGAAUCAUCGAAUCUUUGAACGCACAUUGCGCCCUUUGGUAUUCCAAAGGGCAUGCCUGUUCGAGCGUCAUUUGUACCCUCAAGCUUUGCUUGGUGUUGGGCGUCUUGUCUCUAGCUUUGCUGGAGACUCGCCUUAAAGUAAUUGGCAGCCGGCCUACUGGUUUCGGAGCGCAGCACAAGUCGCACUCUCUAUCAUCAAAGGUCUAGCAUCCAUUAAGCCUUUUUUCAACUUUUGACCUCGGAUCAGGUAGGGAUACCCGCUGAACUUAAGC
Molecule: unclassified non-coding RNA, 307 nt
Filed under: plant metagenome
Description: partial contains 5.8S ribosomal RNA, internal transcribed spacer 2, and large subunit ribosomal RNA
Rfam family: 5.8S ribosomal RNA (bases 1-105)
Source: RNAcentral